UAUGACAUAGGGAAUGAAGUCUCCCUCAUAAAUGCCAAUUGGCUGAUGACUUCUGCAGAAAA
Molecule: non-coding RNA, 62 nt
Filed under: Peptococcaceae bacterium SCADC1_2_3
Lineage: Bacteria; Bacillati; Bacillota; Clostridia; Eubacteriales; Peptococcaceae
Also listed under: 1 other name
Description: Fluoride riboswitch aptamer (crcB RNA motif)
Rfam family: Fluoride riboswitch aptamer (crcB RNA motif)
Source: Rfam by way of RNAcentral